AUUUCUUCAUUUAUUUUCUUCUUCUCUCUUCUCUCUUCUCGUUUAUUAUUUCUUCUUUUGCUCCUCCCCUGUCUUUCAUCUGGCGAUUUUGGAGAUCAAGUAAGAGGAGGAAAAUCAAGGGUGGGUUACUGGUGUUGAAGAUUGAGUAAGUGUUUUCGAUUCUGAAUUAGAGAAGAGAAUAUUUGGGGUGUUGUAUUUCUGUAAAUAAGUUGGGGUUUUCUGGAUUUGAAAUUAGGUUUGUAUAGAGAUGCUGAUGAUGAGAUCGAGUUGAUAAUGGAUGAAAAAUAAGUGGGUUGUUGUCUAAUUGCUGUUUUAAGAUGUUUCAAAGGAGAAUCGACGAAUUAAGGUUUUGUUUUAAUUAGGGUUUCGCUGAGUUCAAUUCUGAGAUGAAUUCAAAGAUGAUGAUUGAGAAAAAUAGUAGAUGGGUUUUGUUGAUGUGAAGAAUUACAUUUUUGUUGGUGUUUGAAUUAGAGAAGUUCAGAUUUGGGAAUUGAAUUAAGGUUUGGUCAAGAACAGAUGGUGAUGAAGAUCGAUAGGUUGCUGAAGUGAAUCAAUUGCUUGAGCUGAACUUUUUUUGAGGUGUUAGUACUGAACUGAAGAUAAUUGAAUUGGCGAUUUAGGGAUUGAUAUUGAGGCAGGUGGUAUGUGAUAUAGUUGAGUGUUACUCAGCUAAUAGUGGUGAUAAGUAUUAUGUGGUGCAGUGGGAAAUGUUGUUGCUAGUGAGGACAUGAAUGAAACUGAGAUAUGCUUUAGAGGAAUGCUUUGAAGUUGCAAUGGAUAUCAGUGGCUGUUAGAGACGUACUGUUGGUAGUUGGUGUUGUUUGUGUUGGCUAUAAAGGGUGCAUAACAGGUAGUGGUGCUGUAAUGAAGCCGCAGGGUUAGUGAUGUUGUUUGGGAUGUUGUAUGGAAUGGGUUAAAUUGAUAAUGAUGCUGCUGUUGGAGAGUUAUGUUGAGUGUUGGAGGUGUGACUGAAAUGAUAGUUGUGGGACUAUAGUUAGUGUUUGUUGUGAAAGCCUAAAACUGCAACUGCAGGUAAUCUUAGCUUGUAAAUUUAUAAUGAAGUUCACUUGGAUUGAUUAUAUCUCAGUGAUGAAGUUAAUGUGAAUAAACAUUGUAGAAUUGUAUGAUAAAGAACAAGGAUAUGCUGUAGGAAUUGAAGCUGUAAUAGUUUAGGCCUUGUUGAUUUGUUA
Molecule: long non-coding RNA, 1190 nt
Organism: Papaver somniferum (opium poppy)
Lineage: Eukaryota; Viridiplantae; Streptophyta; Magnoliopsida; Ranunculales; Papaveraceae
Exons: 2
Source: RefSeq, a predicted model, not a curated record